AUGCGUUUCUGCCAUGGUUGGCUCAGCUGAAUGCACCUCUUGAACAAGACUUGGCCUUGGACACCCAGAGGCCCUUGGUUGAGGGUUUACCUCCUGGCAUGGCCACUGACACAUCCACGUUUGGCUCCCACAUGGCUGGGUGGUCCGAGACCUGCUCUUCCUGGGCUACUCAUUGGUGGCAUUUCUCAAGUUUGUCCCCUGUAAAGUCUGCCCCAUCCGGGAAACCAAACACCUCUCUCCUACAUGGAAACCCCCGUCAGCACCUCUUCCUGACUCACAGGGCAUCCCGUCAACAUCACAGUCCCGACCUUCCCACACAGACAAGCUCAUGGGACCCCCUGAUGGACCAGGACAGCGCCAGCACUAAGAAAAGCCCUGAAACUCACAGGAAGAGUGGACCAAGAAGACGGGAACAGCACGGGGCACUGGGAGCUGCAAAUGCCCCCGAUACUGUGAGAGAUGGAGAAAGACUUCUCUUUUCUGUCCUCAUUGAAAAGACAGCCAGCUUUUGUAACCUUGCCUUGGGGAUGUUAGCAGGAGAAAUGUUGGCAAUUCAAGGCUCUUCUGGUUUUAUAAGAAAACCAGAUUUUGCUGGGAGGCCUGGAGUAGAAGAGAGGGCCUUGGAGAAGCAAAAAUGGGAGGAGAGACCUUCUUAGAGAUCAGGAGGAGCAGGUUUGCUUCCAGAACACAGGUGUCAUGAAAACCACCCCUAAAAGCCAAAAUGGGAGAGGAAAAGAUUCAAUCAAUGUUGUCAUCGUUGGACACAUAGAUUCGAGCAAGUCCACCACUACUGGCCAUCUGAUCUACACAUGUGGUGGCAUCAAAAAAGAACCACUGAAAAACUUGAGAAGGAGGCUGCUGAGAUGGGAAAGGGCGUCUUCAAAUAUUCCUGGGUAUUGGAUGAACUGAAUGCUGAGUGUGAAUGUGAUACUGCUCACCAUUGACGCCUCCUUGUGGAAAUGUGAGGCCAGCAAGUGACUAUCGCAGAUGCCUUAGGCCACAGAGACUGUCAAAAACACGAUUCCAGGGACAGAUCGGGUUGGCUGUGUUGUCCUGAUGAUCACUGCUGGUGUUGGCACCUUCGAAGCUGGUAUCUCCAAGAACGGACAGACCCGUGAUCAUGCCCUUCUGCCUUACACACAGGGUGUGAAAAAACUAAUUGUUGGUGUUAACAAAGUGGAUUCCACUGAGCCAUCCUACAGCCAGAAGAGAUAGAAGGAAAUAGUUAAGGAAAUCAGCACGUACAUUAAGAAAACUGGUUACAACCCAGCCACAAUAGUAUUUGUGUCCGUUUCUGGUUGGAAUGGGGAGAAUGUGGAGUUCUAAUGUCCAAGCAUAGGAGAAGAUGGGUGUCCCAGCUCCUGGGGGGAGAAAGAGGGAGGGGAAGAGAGAGCGAGAAAGACAGAGGAUAUUUUCCUUUCCUUCGCCUUUCUGUUCUAUCCCGGAACUCGGUGACUGGAUGGUGCCUGCCCACAUUGGGUGAGGGCGGAUCUCCCUUACUCAGUCACUGCUUCACAAACCAGUGUCUUUCAGAAACGUCCUCAUGGAUAUGCCAGGAAGUAAUGCUUUGCCAGCUGUCAUGGUAUCUCUUAAUCCAGUCAAGUUGACACAUAAAAUGAACCACCACACUCUCUAUAAUGGGAGAAUGACCUAAUUUUAUUUUUCCUACUGAGAGAACCACCAAAAUGGCAGCAAUUGCUUUCCAGAAACCAACUAAAUGAAGGUACAGAGUUAAAAUUAAGUGUAUUUGAAGAAAUGCUAUAUAUAUAUAGAUAGAUAUUUUUGAGAUGGAGUGUCGCUCUAUUGCCCAGAGUGCAGUAGCACCAUCUCG
This is a long non-coding RNA of Nomascus leucogenys (northern white-cheeked gibbon), 1831 nucleotides long. RefSeq lists it as uncharacterized. Lineage: Eukaryota; Metazoa; Chordata; Mammalia; Primates; Hylobatidae. The transcript is spliced from 3 exons. The record is from RefSeq and is a predicted model, not a curated record.